CCACCCUGCACCCCCACCUAUGUGUACCUGGCAGGGCAGCCUCUGCAAGGCUUGUCACCCAAACCACUGGAAGGUGGUGAUUCUGGGCAUUAGUGGGACACGAUCUGCAAAGACUCCCAGGGAAAGGGAAAGUCAGUUCAACAUGCUGAGGGCAGGAAGAGAGAGUGAGUGGAUGGGGUUGAAGGGAGAAACUUGCAGUCUCCACCAUGUGACAACCAUCCCUUACAGAAUCAAGUGCCCUGAAGCCCCAACCCCAACAACAUCCUAAAGUGUCUCCAAAUGGCUCUGGGCACUGGGGAUGAUGGACACUCUCUGAGAGCAAAGACUUCACCUCUCUGGGUCACUACUACAUCCUCAGUGCCGGAAAUAACGCUUUCUACAUAGCAGAUGUUCAAUAAAUAUUUGAUGCAUAAAUGAACGGGUAGAACACAAGCUGGUGCAUAUACAUAGAAUUAGACUUUUCCUUUCUUCCUCCUGCCCGCUUUAGAAGAAGAUAUGAUACUGUAUAUAUUAUUUUACAAUUUGAUUUUUUUCCACUAUAG
Molecule: long non-coding RNA, 542 nt
Filed under: Equus asinus (donkey)
Lineage: Eukaryota; Metazoa; Chordata; Mammalia; Perissodactyla; Equidae
Description: lncRNA (ENSEASG00005027766.1)
Source: RNAcentral